RNAcentral lists this long non-coding RNA (3082 nucleotides) under Pelobates cultripes (western spadefoot toad). The record is from RNAcentral. Lineage: Eukaryota; Metazoa; Chordata; Amphibia; Anura; Pelobatidae.
AUUUUAACCACCAGGACAUACCAGCUGGCUCACAGAGAGAUACUGGCUGCCGCACGUUAGCCAAAGUAAGGAGACCGCAGACAGGUGAGAUUAGAGCGUUAGUUUGUAUUUAUCAUUUUAUUGAUUAAUGACCCAAAUAACGAUUAGAUUAACUUUUCAAUUCUUAUAACCUGUAGCCAAUACAAUUCUCACACACACACCCUGACUGUUCCUCAACAUUAAAAAGUAAAAUCCAGGUUAAAUUUGGAUAGAAAUAACACUCCUAUAACACCGGGCAGUAAUGGUCGGGUGAAACUCGCAUUGAUUGUACAUUGUUAUUAUUAUUAUUAUUAUUUAUAAUGUACAUCUUUGCUCAAUUGUUGUCAUAGCAUGAAGGCUUGAGCUAUAAGAAGGAAGGUGGCCAGCUGGCAAAUAUAUAGGGAAUAGUUUACAAAUAGUGUGCACUCAAGACUGAAUUAGGGAGCAGACUAGCCACCUCCAGGAGUGUGCGUAUCGAGUGAUCAUCUUUUUAGCUAAAAAUAAAGAAUUGAUUGUUGUUGAGAUGUUUGUGCUGCGGUAACGAAACGUAAUACAGAGACAUCAUUUUUAUUGAAUAAUGGCUCAGUGCAAGAGUAGCUAAAAAACGAAUUCUGCAUAAUUCUCGUUAGUGAUCACAGUUAUUUAACCCCUUAAGGACCAAACUUCUGGAAUAAAAGGGAAUAAUGACAUGUCACACGUCAUGUGUUCGUAAGGGGUUAAUGGUGGAGUUUACUCUGUAUUUAUUCUGUUACUGGGAGUGCUGAGUGAAAGGGUUAAUCUGUAUUCAUUCUGUUACUGGGAGUGCUGAGUGAAAGGGUUAAUCUGUAUUCAUUCUUUUACUGGGAGUGCUGAGUGAAAGGGUUAAUCUGUAUUCAUUCUGUUACUGGGAGUGCUGAGUGAAAGGGUUAAUCUGUAUUCUUUCUGUUACUGGGAGUGCUGAGUGAAAAGGGUUAAUCUGUAUUCAUUCUGUUACUGGGAGUGCUGAGUGAAAGGGUUAAUCUGUAUUCAUUCUGUUACUGGGAGUGUUGAGUGAAAGGGUUAAUCUGUAUUCUUUCUGUUACUGGGAGUGCUGAGUGAAAAGGGUUAAUCUGUAUUCAUUCUGUUACUGGGAGUGCUGAGUGAAAGGGUUAAUCUGUAUUCAUUCUGUUACUGGGAGUGCUGAGUGAAAGGGUUAAUCUGUAUUCAUUCUGUUACUGGGAGUGCUGAGUGAACGGGUUAAUCUGUAUUCUUUCUGUUACUGGGAGUGCUGAGUGAAAAGGGUUAAUCUGUAUUCAUUCUGUUACUGGGAGUGCUGAGUGAAAGGGUUAAUCUGUAUUCAUUCUGUUACUGGGAGUGCUGAGUGAAAGGGUUAAUCUGUAUUUAUUCUGUUACUGGGAGUGCUGAGUGAAAGGGUUAAUCUGUAUUCAUUCUGUUACUGGGAGUGCUGAGUGAAAGGGUUAAUCUGUAUUCAUUCUGUUACUGGGAGUGCUGAGUGAAAGGGUUAAUCUGUAUCCUCUCUGUUACUGGGAGUGCUGAGUGAAAGGGUUAAUCUGUAUUUAUUCUGUUACUUGGAGUGCUGAGUGAAAGGAUUAAUCUGUAUUCAUUCUGUUACUAGGAGUUACUGAGUGCUGAGUAUAAGGGUUAAUCUGUAUUCAUUCUGUAACUAGGAGUGCUGAAUGAAAGGGUUAAUCUGUAUCCUCUCUGUUAUUGAGAGCGCAGAGUGAAAAGGUUAAUCUGUAGAGUCUCACUGCUCAAUUCUCUGCCAUUUAAAUCACUUUGUUUCUGCAAUCCUAGUUACACCUCUCUGCAUGUAACUCACAAAGUCUUCCUAAACAAUUCCUGUAUAGAGAGAUCUAAGAUUUACACUUCCUAGCUUGCACAUUCUGUUUAGUUUAUCAUUUCUUAUCUCCUGCUCUGUUAAUAGCCUUCUAGAUCCUACAGAAGCCUUCUUCUCUAUGUGAAUAAAGUUCAAAUUACAGAGCAGGAGAUACAAAGUUAAGUAAGAUUGGAAAUGAAACAAUGUUUCAUGCAGGUUGUGUCAGUCACAGCCAGGGGAGGUGAGGUUAGGGCUGUAUGAACAGAAAUAAAAGUGAUAUAAAUCCUAAAUGGCUAAAAAUUGAGCAGUGACACUACAAAUGCAUGACCUAUAUACCAAAACUGCCUCAUUAAGUGAGAGUUGUUUUGGUGACAAUAGUGUCCCUUUAUUAAAAAAUGCAGCCUUGCUUCCUGUGAGUGAAUAGUUUGUGCCUAUUGAUUAUUUUGAUUAUUUUGAUGUGGGAAUAGAUGGUGUAGACACCACAGCGGCCAUAUUGAUAAAUGAGAAAGAAACAUCUGGUUAAAUUACGAUACUUACUCUCACGUGUUAGAUUUUCCAAAUUGUCCAAACUGCACUUACACUCUGAUUUAAUAUUAAAUAAUAUGGGAUUUCAUGAUUUACUAUAAUGUUGACAUAUUCACCAUAUAAAUCUAUAUUUUGAAUAUAUAGCCAUUUAUCUGUUCAGAUCUGGGAAUUGGACUUUUGUCAAAUUAAUGUUUAUAUACUAAAGUGUUAUUUCUGCCCAACGCAUUUCAUACAAUUCUGGAACGUCUUAUGUUAGAAAUAUUUUGUAGGAGGUUUAAUCUAAUCAAGACGUUCCUCACUGUGAAAUCAAUCCAAUAUCAGUAUCAUGUAACAUUGUUCUUUGAUUUCUGCAGGUGAAUAUAUUUUUCUUAAAUCGAGAAGCAGAACGAGCCAUGGCUAAGGUUAUAAGGAAAGAUGGCGGCUCUGUAAAUAUACGCGGAAACAUGCCGGAAUCUUUAUCUGAUGAGACAAUCACAGUGGAUGUUACAGAAAUCCUGCCACCACCUUCACCAAUAUAUUUAUAUUACUUGGAAACCAAUCAUUUACCAUUUGAUGGACAAACCAAUAGAAAAACUUUUAUUCCCUCCAAUAUCAUGUGUAUGGCUUGCUACUUACCUGGAAAUGGGGACAAAGAAUGGUGUAAAAAGAAUUGUUACCACUGAGUAACAUAAAUACAAUAAGCACUUUGUUUUUAAAAGAAACUGUUACAUAAAAAUAUCCUCUAAUAAAAUCCUUCAUUAAAAC